Alligator mississippiensis (American alligator) is the source of this 648-nucleotide long non-coding RNA. RefSeq lists it as uncharacterized. The record is from RefSeq and is a predicted model, not a curated record. The transcript has 5 exons. Lineage: Eukaryota; Metazoa; Chordata; Crocodylia; Alligatoridae.
AAGGAGAAUCUCCUUGGUUUCAGAGUUGCAAAACAUACAGUAUCAUGCCUUUUGCUAUCUCAUGUCUUCCUAAUGAACUGAGAUGCUGUACAGACACAGGAAAAGCAUGGCGGAGUUUAUAGAAGAUGUGACACUGGGAAAUCCUUUGUGUGGAUAUUGGAGCAGUGCAAUAGUAGGGCUUUACCUGCAAGGUGCUAGAAGCCCACCAUUCUUAUUGACAUCAGGGCAGUGAGGCUGCAGCCAAUGGGAGAACAAGAUCAGGCUUGGAUACAAGUAGCAGAAUGCAGGAGAUGGGUGUAUCAAAACACUGAAGGCCCUUUACUGCAGCAAGAAAUGCAGCACAUGGAAGGACUUGGUACUGACUAAAGGCUGCUCACAGGAGGCCCUCAGGACCUCAGUUUUAGCAAACUGAGAGCUGAAGGAUAGAUCUUCAAGAAAUGUAAUGAAUUCCAGGGGGAAUGGACCAGAACCACAACUCUGAGUAUACAUUUCAAGCCAAAUUGAAUUGAUUCAAACAAUUCCCUAAGACCAAUGAAGAGGAAGGAAACAUAGCUGUCAAGCCCCUCUGAAACUAAUGCCAUCAGGCUAUGAAGAUGUACAGUUAACUGAAUUCCAGGUAAACUAAGAUUCUUGUCGCUGGCAAAAGGG